CCUACGGGAGGCAGCAGUGGGGAAUUUUGGACAAUGGGCGCAAGCCUGAUCCAGCAAUGCCGCGUGAGUGAAGAAGGCCUUCGGGUUGUAAAGCUCUUUUGUCAGGGAAGAAACGGUGGGAGCUAAUAUCUCUUGCUAAUGACGGUACCUGAAGAAUAAGCACCGGCUAACUACGUGCCAGCAGCCGCGGUAAUACGUAGGGUGCAAGCGUUAAUCGGAAUUACUGGGCGUAAAGCGUGCGCAGGCGGUUUUGUAAGACUGUCGUGAAAUCCCCGGGCUCAACCUGGGAAUGGCGAUGGUGACUGCAAGGCUAGAGUUUGGCAGAGGGGGGUAGAAUUCCACGUGUAGCAGUGAAAUGCGUAGAUAUGUGGAGGAACACCGAUGGCGAAGGCAGCCCCCUGGGUCAAAACUGACGCUCAUGCACGAAAGCGUGGGGAGCAAACAGGAUUAGAUACCCUGGUAGUCCACGCCCUAAACGAUGUCUACUAGUUGUCGGGUCUUAAUUGACUUGGUAACGCAGCUAACGCGUGAAGUAGACCGCCUGGGGAGUACGGUCGCAAGNUUAAAACUCAAAGGAUUGACGGCUGAGACGNGCGAGACGACGACGAGGGAGGAGG
Molecule: ribosomal RNA, 617 nt
Filed under: uncultured bacterium
Lineage: Bacteria
Description: bacterial SSU rRNA
Rfam family: Bacterial small subunit ribosomal RNA
Source: RNAcentral